This 532-nucleotide ribosomal RNA is filed under the name Simulium timorense. Its description in RNAcentral is "partial 12S ribosomal RNA". Lineage: Eukaryota; Metazoa; Arthropoda; Insecta; Diptera; Simuliidae. The record is from RNAcentral.
CGCGGUUAUACAAAUAAUGCAAAUAAGAUUUUUUAGUAUUAGUUAAUUUGUUUAAUUAUUAUAAAAUAAAUUUAAAUUUUUUAAGUGAAAUUUUAAAUUUAAUUAAUUUUAUAUUUUUAUUUAAUGAAGCUAGAAAAUUUUAAUUAUAAACUAGGAUUAGAUACCCUAUUAUUUAAAAAGUAAGGUUAAAUACUUGAGUAGUAAUAGAUAUGGUCUUCAAACUUAAAGAAUUUGGCGGUGUUUUAGUCUAUUUAGAGGAACCUGUCCUGUAAUCGAUAAUCCACGUUGGACCUUACUAAAGUUUGUUUUCAAUUUGUAUAUCGCCGUUAUCAGAAUAUCUUAAAAGAGGAAUAAUUUUCUUAAUUUAUUAUUAUAAUUGAUGUCAGGUCAAGGUGCAGUUUAUAUUUUAGUAGAGAUGGGUUACAAUAAAUUUAUUUAAACGUUAAAUUGUUUGAAAUAAUGAUUUUAAGGUGGAUUUAAAAGUAAAAUAAUGUAUAUAAUUUAUUUGAUUAUAGCUCUAAAACAUGCACAC